Molecule: long non-coding RNA, 1316 nt
Organism: Sesamum indicum (sesame)
Lineage: Eukaryota; Viridiplantae; Streptophyta; Magnoliopsida; Lamiales; Pedaliaceae
Source: RefSeq, a predicted model, not a curated record
UUAACUCAACCUCAACUACCCCUCCUCUAACUCUCUCUCUCUGUCUCUGUCUCUCUCUCUCUCACUCACGGCAUCUCCUCUGACUCUCUCUCUCACGAUCCAAGAAGAAAAGAAAGAAGAAAGCAGUCUCUAACACUCUCUCUCUCGGCGGCUCCGACGCCUUCGACAUAGCUUUUUUUCGAUGUCAGAAAAAAGAACUUGGUAGAGAAGUGACUGAUCUUGAGUUAUUUCGAAGAUGCCAUAGAAAGAACAAAGGAAUUGGAGAGUUCAUCGACAACAAAUUCAAAAGAAUUAGUUCUUCAUUCGAUAUCUCAACUUGGUAUGAUAUCACUGGAGGUCCUUCUAAAGGACGCUUAUAUGGAUUUGGAUGUAGCUCCUCAUCUACAAGUUCAAGUUCAGUCAGUUCUACUCUUAAUGCAUCAGACCAGAAGAUUAAUGAGUUAACAAAAGCCAUGGAGGACAUGCGCUCUAAUGCUACAAAAAUGAAAGAAGAACUUUCAAGACGAGAAGAAGAAAAUAGAAAAUUGCUUGAAAUUUCUCUUGAACAAGCUCAAAAGAGGGAGGAAGAGGCUCGGAAGAGAGAGGCAAACCUACAGGAAUUAGUUUGAAAAUUACUUCAAGAUGUGGGAUACACAAACCAUCAAUUUGCUGGUGGGUCUGGACAGUAGGAGCAACAACAUUCCAGGAAAGAUAAUUAGUUUAUUUUUUUCUGUUGGUUGUUUAUAACCUAGUUUAUAUUAGUGUUGUUGUAUUAUGAGUAUCUUUUUUGUUAAUAUUUAUUGUUCUUGUUUGGAAAAUUUAGAUUUUGGUAUUGAUGGAAUGUAUGUGAUGUUAUGAUGACCAAGAUAUUAAUUUGGGUACAGAAAUUAAAAAAUCUGCCCAAAAAAAACCAAACAUGACUAAAGACGGAUUAGAGACGGAAAAUUUUAAAAGUUUAGAGGCCGAAUUAGAGACGGAUUAGAGGCGGAAAUUUUUACGGUUUUAGAGACGGAUUAAAGACGGAAUAUUUUCUGCAUUUCAGGGAUGGGAUUAGAGACGGAAUCAACAAACAAAUUGCUCUUGAAAAAGCUCGAAAGAGGCUCGGAAGAGGGAGGCAGACCUACAAUAAUUAAUUCAAAAAUUACUUUAAGAUGUGUGAUACACAAACUAUCAAUUUGCUGGUGGGUAUAGAUAGCAGGAGCAACAACAUUUCAUGAAAGAUAAUUAGUUUAUUUUUUCUAUUGGUUGUUUAUGACUUAGUUUGUAUUAGUGUUGUUGUAUUAUGAGCAUCUUUUUUGUUAAUAUUUAUUGUUCUUGUUUGGAAAAUUCAGAUUUUG